This 1487-nucleotide ribosomal RNA is filed under the name uncultured bacterium. Its description in RNAcentral is "16S ribosomal RNA". It matches the Rfam family "Bacterial small subunit ribosomal RNA". The record is from RNAcentral.
AGAGUUUGAUCCUGGCUCAGGAUGAACGCUAGCGACAGGCUUAACACAUGCAAGUCGAGGGGCAGCACAGGUAGCAAUACCGGGUGGCGACCGGCGCACGGGUGAGUAACGCGUAUGCAACUUACCUAUCAGAGGGGGAUAACCCGGCGAAAGUCGGACUAAUACCGCAUGAAGCAGGGGCCCCGCAUGGGGAUAUUUGCUAAAGAUUCAUCGCUGAUAGAUAGGCAUGCGUUCCAUUAGGCAGUUGGCGGGGUAACGGCCCACCAAACCGACGAUGGAUAGGGGUUCUGAGAGGAAGGUCCCCCACAUUGGUACUGAGACACGGACCAAACUCCUACGGGAGGCAGCAGUGAGGAAUAUUGGUCAAUGGGCGUAAGCCUGAACCAGCCAAGUCGCGUGAGGGAUGAAGGUUCUAUGGAUCGUAAACCUCUUUUAUAAGGGAAUAAAGUGCGGGACGUGUCCCGUUUUGUAUGUACCUUAUGAAUAAGGAUCGGCUAACUCCGUGCCAGCAGCCGCGGUAAUACGGAGGAUCCGAGCGUUAUCCGGAUUUAUUGGGUUUAAAGGGUGCGUAGGCGGCCUUUUAAGUCAGCGGUGAAAGUCUGUGGCUCAACCAUAGAAUUGCCGUUGAAACUGGGGGGCUUGAGUAUGUUUGAGGCAGGCGGAAUGCGUGGUGUAGCGGUGAAAUGCUUAGAUAUCACGCAGAACCCCGAUUGCGAAGGCAGCCUGCCAAGCCAUGACUGACGCUGAUGCACGAAAGCGUGGGGAUCAAACAGGAUUAGAUACCCUGGUAGUCCACGCAGUAAACGAUGAUCACUAGCUGUUUGCGAUACAGUGUAAGCGGCACAGCGAAAGCGUUAAGUGAUCCACCUGGGGAGUACGCCGGCAACGGUGAAACUCAAAGGAAUUGACGGGGGCCCGCACAAGCGGAGGAACAUGUGGUUUAAUUCGAUGAUACGCGAGGAACCUUACCCGGGUUUGAACGCAUUUCGACCGCUCUGGAAACAGAGCCUCUAGCAAUAGCGAUUUGCGAGGUGCUGCAUGGUUGUCGUCAGCUCGUGCCGUGAGGUGUCGGCUUAAGUGCCAUAACGAGCGCAACCCUUGCCACUAGUUACUAACAGGUGAUGCUGAGGACUCUGGUGGGACUGCCAGCGUAAGCUGCGAGGAAGGCGGGGAUGACGUCAAAUCAGCACGGCCCUUACAUCCGGGGCGACACACGUGUUACAAUGGCGUGGACAAAGGGAAGCCACCUGGCGACAGGGAGCGAAUCCCCAAACCACGUCUCAGUUCGGAUCGAAGUCUGCAACCCGACUCCGUGAAGCUGGAUUCGCUAGUAAUCGCGCAUCAGCCAUGGCGCGGUGAAUACGUUCCCGGGCCUUGUACACACCGCCCGUCAAGCCAUGGGAGCCGGGGGUACCUGAAGUCCGUAACCGCGAGGAUCGGCCUAGGGUAAAACUGGUGACUGGGGCUAAGUCGUAACAAGGUAGCCG